RNAcentral lists this long non-coding RNA (967 nucleotides) under Equus caballus (horse). Its description in RNAcentral is "lncRNA (ENSECAG00000051572.1)". Lineage: Eukaryota; Metazoa; Chordata; Mammalia; Perissodactyla; Equidae. The record is from RNAcentral.
CUUUACGCUAAGCCAGCAAUCCAGUGAGGAGCAUGUUUCUCUGAGUUCAGAUCUUCAGCUAGUACACUGUUGACUAAUGGUGGUGAUAGGAGCAUCCCUGUCUUGGACCCGUGUCCCUUCCUUCUUUUUGGUGCCUGCUUCAGAAUCAGAAUAUCAAAUGGAUACAUUGACGAGGGAAAAUAUAUGCCACACUUCAGCUUCCAUAAUAUAAUGUAGGACUCUUUCUCUAAACUUCUGAGGAAUUCCUCCCAAGUUGGAAGGAUAUUCAGAUGCUGGACAAAGGAAGUAACUUGUAAUUGUCUGUAUACUAGUCUUUAUCCACAGCUAGACUCUACCAGAUCAUCCUGAUCACCAUGUAUAAAAUGUGCCUACAAGGGAAUUUAUUCUUCAUUUCAAAUUGAAACUCUAAGAGCACAUCUCCCUUCGCUGCACACAUAACAUCAGAAUUGGGGGUUCUCCAUCUUCUAAACCAUUGAUGGGAGCUCCUAUAGCUUCUUGCAGGGUCUUUAAGAAGCUAAGGCUUGGGGAUUGGAUAAGGAUGCAGAAUGGAGCAUUCUAAAGGACAACUUCCUGUUAAUGUAAGACCCCAGAAGUGACUUUUCCAGUUAUAACUUCAGUAAUUCCCUCCCUCUUCUUCCAAGGAUUUAUCUACUUCUGUGUCCACGGCGUUGCCUGGAGCAGCACCCAUGUUUUCUUCUGCCUGGUUACUGAUGAAAGGUGCUCUCAUCCUUCGACGGUUUUCUCAAGGGUUACUGCUGGCAAAAAUGAGAGAGACUUGAUGAAGAGGAUCCUGCCAUUAAAUUCACACACACACACAGGAAAUUGGAGUUGUGGCCACCUCCCAAAGCCUCUUCCCUCUGCUAGUGGAAGAGAGCUGUGGCAGGGCCCUGUGGCACCAGAUAGACUAUGAUGUAGCCGGUGUGUCUCUGCAACUGUCUUCACCAAUGGAGUAGAGGAGAAGGGAUCU